ACCUGCAGCUGCAUCACCCUGGGCUGUGAUCUUGUCAUCUCUCAUAAGUUAAACAGGGCUAAUCCUGGUCAGUGCUUGGAUGGGAGAGCCCCAGAGAAAAACCCAAAUGCUUGAGGUA
This 118-nucleotide ribosomal RNA is filed under the name Chelonoidis abingdonii (Abingdon island giant tortoise). Lineage: Eukaryota; Metazoa; Chordata; Testudines; Testudinidae. The record is from RNAcentral.